This 218-nucleotide long non-coding RNA is filed under the name Elaeis guineensis (African oil palm). RNAcentral's name for it is "long non-coding RNA (EGUI_LNC080444)". The record is from RNAcentral. Lineage: Eukaryota; Viridiplantae; Streptophyta; Magnoliopsida; Arecales; Arecaceae.
UACAAAAAGUUCACUCGAAGCCCCGAUCUGAUCAAUCUUCUUGAGAGUGCUAGCUCACGCGAAGAUCUUCUUCUUGAUUGAUCUAGAUCCCUUCUUCAAAUCUUUGAAAUCUUUUCAAAAAAUUGAAGAUGGACUUAUAAAAGAGAUGUAAAAGUGAAAGAAAAAUAGAGAAAAAAAUAAUUUUUCUCUAAUUUAUUCUCUCUUCCCAAACCCUUAGG